UACGUAGGGUGCAAGCGUUAAUCGGAAUUACUGGGCGUAAAGCGUGCGCAGGCGGUUUUGUAAGACUGUCGUGAAAUCCCCGGGCUCAACCUGGGAAUGGCGAUGGUGACUGCAAGGCUAGAGUUUUGCAGAGGGGGGUAGAAUUCCACGUGUAGCAGUGAAAUGCGUAGAGAUGUGGAGGAAUACCGAUGGCGAAGGCAGCCCCCUGGGCCAAUACUGACGCUCAUGCACGAAAGCGUGGGGAGCAAACAGG
Molecule: ribosomal RNA, 253 nt
Filed under: uncultured bacterium
Lineage: Bacteria
Description: partial 16S ribosomal RNA
Rfam family: Bacterial small subunit ribosomal RNA
Source: RNAcentral